GCCUAACACAUGCAAGUCGAGCGGCAGCACGGGAAGCUUGCUUCCUGGUGGCGAGCGGCGGACGGGUGAGUAAUGCAUAGGAAUCUGCCCGAUAGUGGGGGAUAACCUGGGGAAACCCAGGCUAAUACCGCAUACGCCCUACGGGGGAAAGCAGGGGCUCUUCGGACCUUGCGCUAUCGGAUGAGCCUAUGUCGGAUUAGCUGGUUGGUGAGGUAAAGGCUCACCAAGGCGACGAUCCGUAGCUGGUCUGAGAGGAUGAUCAGCCACAUCGGGACUGAGACACGGCCCGAACUCCUACGGGAGGCAGCAGUGGGGAAUAUUGGACAAUGGGCGCAAGCCUGAUCCAGCCAUGCCGCGUGUGUGAAGAAGGCCUUAGGGUUGUAAAGCACUUUCAGUGGGGAAGAAAGCCUUUCGGUUAAUACCCGGGAGGAAGGACAUCACCCACAGAAGAAGCACCGGCUAACUCCGUGCCAGCAGCCGCGGUAAUACGGAGGGUGCGAGCGUUAAUCGGAAUUACUGGGCGUAAAGCGCGCGUAGGUGGCUUGAUAAGCCGGUUGUGAAAGCCCCGGGCUCAACCUGGGAACGGCAUCCGGAACUGUCAGGCUAGAGUGCAGGAGAGGAAGGUAGAAUUCCCGGUGUAGCGGUGAAAUGCGUAGAGAUCGGGAGGAAUACCAGUGGCGAAGGCGGCCUUCUGGACUGACACUGACACUGAGGUGCGAAAGCGUGGGUAGCAAACAGGAUUAGAUACCCUGGUAGUCCACGCCGUAAACGAUGUCGACUAGCCGUUGGGUCCUUCGCGGACUUUGUGGCGCAGUUAACGCGAUAAGUCGACCGCCUGGGGAGUACGGCCGCAAGGUUAAACUCAAAAUGAAUUGACGGGGGCCCGCACAAGCGGUGGAGCAUGUGGUUUAAUUCGAUGCAACGCGAAGAACCUUACCUACCCUUGACAUCCUGCGAACCCUUCGGAGACGAAGGGGUGCCUUCGGGAACGCAGAGACAGGUGCUGCAUGGCUGUCGUCAGCUCGUGUUGUGAAAUGUUGGGUUAAGUCCCGUAACGAGCGCAACCCUUGUCCUUAUUUGCCAGCGAGUAAAGUCGGGAACUCUAAGGAGACUGCCGGUGACAAACCGGAGGAAGGUGGGGACGACGUCAAGUCAUCAUGGCCCUUACGGGUAGGGCUACACACGUGCUACAAUGGUCGGUACAAAGGGUUGCGAACUUGCGAAAGUGAGCUAAUCCCAGAAAGCUGAUCUCAGUCCGGAUCGGAGUCUGCAACUCGACUCCGUGAAGUCGGAAUCGCUAGUAAUCGUGAAUCAGAAUGUCACGGUGAAUACGUUCCCGGGCCUUGUACACACCGCCCGUCACACCAUGGGAGUGGACUGCACCAGAAGUGGUUAGCCUAACCUUCGGGAGGGCGAUCACCACGGUGUGGUUCAUGACUGGGGUGGAGUCGUAACAAGGUAGCCGUAGGGGAACCUGCGGCUGGAUCACCUCCUU
This 1495-nucleotide ribosomal RNA is filed under the name uncultured bacterium. RNAcentral describes it as "bacterial SSU rRNA". It matches the Rfam family "Bacterial small subunit ribosomal RNA". The record is from RNAcentral.